AAGGACAGCAAUGCUGACGCUUUGUGUUUGCCGACUCUGCUUUAUUCAAAAGGGAUGGCUACCAUGGGGAGAAAUCAGUGGGACCUCCCCAGUACUUGAAAAUCUGCAGCCCACACCUGCCAAUGAUUCCUGGUGCAGAGCAGCCCUCACCAGCAGUCUCGCCCUGAUCUCUGAUCUCCCUGCCUCUAAUUUUCUCUCUUGUUGGAAGCCCUUCAUCUCCUUCCCUACCACACUCCCUGGGACAAUGGAGUUUGUCGGCAGAGAGAGCAAAUUUUUUUUCUUCUUUUUAUUCUUCCUGUAAAUUCAAACAAGCGGCCAGCACUACAAGAACUUUCAUAUUUGCAAACACCCCAGGGUGUUUCGCAAAAAUCAAUCUGACCGAAAACCAUAAAAUAUAAAUUCACCUGAUACAAGGACAGGAUGACGGUGGAGAUUUCUCCCCCUACCUCCGUAUUACACGGUGGCCAUACAAAUGACUCUGACAACUGCACCAAUUACUAGAGCCACUGGAUAAAUCUCAAGGUCAGGAGAAUUUGCAGGAAAAAGCAAGCAAAUGAAAUGCAUCUUUAAAGCGUUCUCUUUGCAUAGGAGAGCCUGCUCGGGAGCACAUUCCAGCAAAAAAUAGAUGAUUUGGGCAAGAAAUUUUCCACCUUCCCUUGGUGAUACUGCAGCUAUCUGAGAAUCACAGCCCCACCAUCUCUUCCCAGAGGGCUUUCCUAAUCUGGAGUCGACGCCAUGUGCAUCCCUUAUUGUGGAAGAAAUGAGGAUUGUGCUGGGCGUGGGGCAAGGCAGACUGGAAGGGCAUAGCUGCUGAAUAUUUACACACAUAAAAUGUUAACAUUUUUCUAAUUAUAAAAAAUAUUCUUAGUGUUGAAACUUUACAAACCACAAGGAAAAAUAUUAGUCACUCACAAUUCCCCUCCAACCAUUGCUUGGUAGCAGACCCCCAGCGCACUCUCCCAGGCCUGCAGCAGAAUCUCCUGGUAGAUACACAAAAGGAAGACUCCUGGGCCUACCCCCAAAUCUGCAGAACCCAGAUUUCUGGGGAUGGAUGAGUCCCCAGCAUCCAGAUUUUUGAAAAGCACUCCCAGCAAUUCUUAUGUGAACUUCUUCUCUGAUCUGUAAACCCUCCCAAUGCAGAUACUUGUGUUUCUUUGUUCACUAUUGUAUUCCAGAGCCUGGCACAUAG
RNAcentral lists this long non-coding RNA (1189 nucleotides) under Equus asinus (donkey). RNAcentral describes it as "lncRNA (ENSEASG00005028757.1)". The record is from RNAcentral. Lineage: Eukaryota; Metazoa; Chordata; Mammalia; Perissodactyla; Equidae.